RNAcentral lists this non-coding RNA (22 nucleotides) under Arabidopsis thaliana (thale cress). The record is from RNAcentral. Lineage: Eukaryota; Viridiplantae; Streptophyta; Magnoliopsida; Brassicales; Brassicaceae.
AUAAAUGUUUUACGGGAUUGCA